UACGUAGGGCGCAAGCGUUGUCCGGAAUUAUUGGGCGUAAAGAGCUCGUAGGCGGCUUGUCACGUCGGGUGUGAAAGCCCGGGGCUUAACCCCGGGUCUGCAUUCGAUACGGGCAGGCUAGAGUGUGGUAGGGGAGAUCGGAAUUCCUGGUGUAGCGGUGAAAUGCGCAGAUAUCAGGAGGAACACCGGUGGCGAAGGCGGCCUACUGGGCCGGACCUGACGCUGAGACGCGAAGGCGUGGGGAGCGAACGGG
Molecule: ribosomal RNA, 253 nt
Filed under: uncultured bacterium
Lineage: Bacteria
Description: partial 16S ribosomal RNA
Rfam family: Bacterial small subunit ribosomal RNA
Source: RNAcentral